RNAcentral lists this ribosomal RNA (425 nucleotides) under uncultured bacterium. Its description in RNAcentral is "bacterial SSU rRNA". It matches the Rfam family "Bacterial small subunit ribosomal RNA", at positions 356 to 773 of the family's 1533-position model. The record is from RNAcentral.
AGGGAAUAUUGGACAAUGGGCGCAAGCCUGAUCCAGCCAUGCCGCGUGAGUGAAGAAGGCCUUCGGGUUGUAAAGCUCUUUUGUCCGGAAAGAAAAGCAUCCAGUUAAUACCUGGAUGUCCUGACGGUACCGGAAGAAUAAGCACCGGCUAACUUCGUGCCAGCAGCCGCGGUAAUACGAAGGGUGCAAGCGUUACUCGGAAUUACUGGGCGUAAAGCGUGCGUAGGUGGUUUGUUAAGUCUGAUGUGAAAGCCCUGGGCUCAACCUGGGAAUGGCAUUGGAUACUGGCAGGCUAGAGUGCGGUAGAGGGCAGUGGAAUUCCCGGUGUAGCAGUGAAAUGCGUAGAGAUCGGGAGGAACAUCUGUGGCGAAGGCGACUGCCUGGACCAGCACUGACACUGAGGCACGAAAGCGUGGGGAGCAAAC